ACCUUCAGCAACGCGCUUCCAAAGCUUUAAUAAUGAAGAGUCUCGUUUGUAUACUGAAGGAAACCGCCACUCAACUUCGGAAACAUAAGGAUGAAAAAGUUUGCUCUUAAAUCACAGAUGUAAUCUCAACAGCAUGAGAGUGUGUGUACAGUGUGUACGAGAGGCUUACAGACGGAGUCUGUCUGUGUUACAUGCGUGUGGGUCCCGAGAGAUGUCAAAGAUGCAAAUGAGAGCCCAUCUGCACCAAGGCAUUGUCUUCAUUCUGCUGUAAAGAUGAGUUCUUGGCUGCUUGCUGUGUCAUGGCAUUUCAACACCAUCAGAAAAUCAUUACAGAUCAGAGAGGAACAGGAAAAUAGACAUGUCAGAUGUUAGACAUACAUUAUGUCACACAGGUUCAGAAUGUUCCAUUGCGAAGGCUGUUGUUGUGUUCAGAGAGUGUUAGAGAAUGUACUCUGUGUCUUGGCCUCUCCCUUCAGCGAGCCCAAACCUGUCUCUCCCUCCGUGCCUGUAGGCCAUACAGGUUUCUUGCAGAUGGCCCUUUGGGGUGUGACUGUUUCUAUCGAGGACAGUAUGUCAUCCACAAAACCCUUGAAGCACCCUUAAGUGUCACGACCUGCAGCAUGUAGC
Molecule: long non-coding RNA, 627 nt
Organism: Cyprinus carpio (common carp)
Lineage: Eukaryota; Metazoa; Chordata; Actinopteri; Cypriniformes; Cyprinidae
Source: Ensembl